This 253-nucleotide ribosomal RNA is filed under the name uncultured bacterium. RNAcentral describes it as "partial 16S ribosomal RNA". It matches the Rfam family "Bacterial small subunit ribosomal RNA", at positions 524 to 776 of the family's 1533-position model. The record is from RNAcentral.
UACGUAGGGUGCAAGCGUUGUCCGGAAUUAUUGGGCGUAAAGGGCGCGUAGGCGGCACGGCAAGUCGGGAGUGAAAGGCCUGGGCUCAACCGAGGAACUGCUUUCGAGACUGCCGAGCUAGAGUGCGGAAGGGGCAACUGGAAUUCCCAGUGUAGCGGUGAAAUGCGUAGAUAUUGGGAAGAACACCUGAGGCGAAGGCGGGUUGCUGGGCCGACACUGACGCUGAGGCGCGAAAGCCAGGGGAGCAAACGGG